GGCAAGUGUGGUCAGAGCCUUCUGGGUUCUGCACGUGGACAGAAAACUAUGAAGGGUGGGGAAAGGAGAGAGCCACAUGUCAUCACUCCAGUGCCGCCUUCCCUUCUCCCGCUCCGAGGCCAGACAGCGGGGAGGAUGACCAGGAAGAGUCAGGAUUGCAAGUGAGCAGCCCCAGCCCCAGAUAUUGCUGUAACUCUGUCCGGCCUCGGAGUCGCUGAGGCUUGCCUGAGGAGCUAAAGCUGGCCAGAGGAGCCACUGCUAACAGACUACAAAGUGAUGGUCCCGGUCAGGGAGAUGGGAAAAGACCUUGGUUCUUGGAAGAGAAAGGCCAGGAAAUACAGGAAGGUGAUGUGGGAAGAGAGAAGAAUAGGGUCAAGCGGUAGCCUAGAGACAAUAAGAUGGUACUGAUCUGGAUUGCCAACAUUUCAAAUGGAAUUCGCCCAUUUAUGAAAUGGAAAAUUGGUGGAGAAGGGAAGGGAUAUUUCUCUAACACUUAUUGCAUCCCAUGGGCUUUGUACGUUAUCACGAUUAACAUGCCCAACGAUACUACACAAGGUGUUCUUGCUGUUUUGUGGAUGGAAAAAAGGCGGACAGCCAGAGUUAGAAAUGGGUGGCGUCCUCCUCUGGCCCUUGCAAUCUUAACCAAGAAUUAUAAUUUUUGAAAAUAGUAUUGAUGGUUAGGGGAGUGGACAAAGCAGUUGUUCUCAUUUUAGAGAUGGGAAUGAGAUGUCAAAGUGUGAACUGAUGUGUGCAAGUACAAGCUGGUGAGGGGCAAGGCCAAGACCGGCACUGUUUUAGCUGCAUGUGGAGCACCUUUCAGGGACUUCAGGCCACUUUCCGUGACCUCACUGUAAGGGACGAGCUUUCUAAGAUCAUUUUGAUGCUGUAUCUGUACAUUAUCAUUUGUAGGGGAAGAACACUCACAAAGUUAAACGGGAUCCGUGGUUGAGGAUGCAUAUGCGCCAUCGAGUCUGUAGGCCGUGAAUCACAGGAGUAAUGCUGUGACGCCUGUCACUUUCCUGCUGACUCUCUGAGAAGGGAGACCAAGAAAAACCGGGGCAAUGCAAAGUGUUUUGGAAUUCUCAGCAGACUAGAAUCAACAUGAGCAGAAACUAAGGGUAAAAGGGAGAUAAAAAAUUCUGUGGCUUUUCUUUUGCCUUCUUGUAGAAUUGUCUUUAAUGAAUUUUGAUUUAUAGUUUUUCAUGGGAAAAAUGCGCAAAGAUCAACUGAAUAUUUAAUCUCUGUUUGUGUGUGUGGGGAGGGUCGGUAAGGGUGGGACUGGGAAUUGUUUUUGCUGGCAGAGAAGGUCAGGAAUAUAAACAAUUACAAAGGCAGAGGAAGCACAUGUACUGUUUCCAGUGAUAGGGUAUGGGUUUAAACUGGAGUCACUGAGCUGGCUUACUCUCACAUCUUUUCUUUUCCAAAUCUAGGAAAUACGUUGUUUGGGGUUGCAGUUAAAUGAAGACAGGCCGUUUCAUGGUGCCUAGUUCUUAUUCUUCAUACUGUGUUCUCUUCCCAUUGCAUGGGCACUUGUGAACUACCAAAAGGUUUAUCACAGACCUGAAAGUGUUUCUGAAGAUGUCUUCUGGAAUUGGCAGCUAUCUCUGUGGCCCAGCUUGUGUUGACUGCUUUUACAGAGUUCUUAGGUUAAAUCCUCCCCAUUCUUAUGAAACAUUUGGAAUAUCAACUUCCCAGUCUGGAGGGGAAAACAUUCCAUUUGGUGCUGGUUUAAUGAGUAUUACUAUGUCUUCAGAUGGUUUGUUAUAGCUUCAUGAUUUUGGGCAAAACGAAUGUGACUCUGAACUUUCCUGUUGUGCCUGGGAGAUCUCAUGCUUUGAUGACAUCUGCUCCUUGGGAAACAUUCCUGUCAAUUCACAAAUGAUUUAUUUAAAGAACAAGAGUAACUGUAGCUCUAUUUUGAAAAGUUAUUAUUUCUCUAUUUAGGGCCGGCCCGGUGGCAUAGUGGUUAAAUUCGUGCGCUCUGCUUCAGCGGCGUGGGGUUUGCGGGUUCGGAUUUGGGUGCAGACCUUUGCACCGCUCAUUGAGCCGCGCUGUGCCGGUGUGCCAUAUACAAAAUGGAGGAAGAUUGGCACAGAUGGUAGCUCAGGGACCAUCUUCCUCACGCAAAAAGAAGAAGAUUGGUAAGAGAUGUUAGCUCAGGGCCGAUCUUCCUCAGCCAAAAAUAAAAUAAAUAAGAUUAACCAUACCUCCAUUUGGAAAAGUUGUUAUUCUUUCUGUAAAUAGCUGGAGCCGCAUGGAGCACACAAGUUAAGUGGUAAGUAUUUCAACACUCAAUAACGUGUUCCCUGAAAGGAAAACGAAAUAUUCACAUUUGUGAAAUAAGUAAUAAUAACAAUAACAGUAUUGAUUGACCAUGGACAAAACUUAUCCCAUUCCUUCCUACCUCAAAACUUGGUGAAAAAGUACUCCCUCGUUCUAAGAAACGUUGGCCCAAAUCCCUUUUUAUUUUUACAUCUUCCUCACGCCUUCAAUCUAAUGUUCUAAGUUUUCAAUCAUUUGUUUUCUUCCUUACUUUUGUCCUUGUUGAUGAUUCCUGACUAGAUCAUGAGAACCUUGAAGAAAGGAAUUUGUCUUUUCUGACUUUUUAUCCCUUCAGAAAGACCCCGUUGAGAGAUGGCAGCAUCCACAUCCAGGUUACUUCACCUUAACUUGAAGUACCUAAAUAAUAAUUAGAAAGAAGGUACAGAAAAAGCAAAAUUGGCUAUAAACAAGAAAUACACCGAUAAGCAACUGCAACACCUUUGAGAUUAUUUUGAAAUUUCAGUAAUCAUAAUGAGAUAUACUUCAGUUAUUAGACAAAUAAAUAUGACAUUAAAAAGUGAAGUGCUUCAAAUCACUGGAAUAUAUAAGGAAUAUACUGUUCGUACUGAGAUUUUAAAUAAAUUUGGUGACUUUUAAUCUUUGUUAAUAUUUGAUCAUUUGUCUCCAUGUCAAUUCACAAUAUUUAAUAAUUUCUAACGGUCACGAACCAGGACAUCUUUAACCAGCUUGCGAAUCUUUCACUGGUAAAUUUAGACAGUUUGUUCAUUCUUUUACAAAGCUCAACCAACUACAGAUGUUACCCUCCCAUAGAAGUGUGCACAAGAAAUUGAGAUUUAGUGACCAAAGGCUCCGAGAAGAGUCUCUGCCUGUCUGACCGUGAACCUGUCAUCCCUUUAAAGAUGUGACAUCUUCUGCUCCAGAGAUUAGGAAUGCCGUACUUCACGUCCCUGUUUCUUCUAGGGGGCAUUUAACAGAAUAACUUCAACAUUUUGUUUUGAAAGCUGGUGGUUAAUAAUGUGUUCUGUGAGUGAGUUUUACUAGCAAAUCACAGGAGAAACGGAAACACUUUGCUGUGUUUUUCUAAUUAACUCGAAUGAAGCAUUGUGAAAUGGGACUGUUACUGCUAACGGCAAAGUCAAUUGCAUAAGCAAGAGAGUCUCGAUUACUGAGUAUCUGAAAAGAAACAUAGGGCAGGACUCUUGCUUUCAUGGAAAAUAAAAUGGGAUAGGAGGAGAAGCCGACAGUAAGCUGCUAUCAGAUAAACGGCCACUGCGUCUCAACACGGAGUUCGGAAAAUGUGUGCAGGGGCUGCCUCUCAGCACAGACCCCGCAGUCGGGUGGUGGUGGCAGGUCUGAAGCUGACUGGUGGCCCCUGAGUCACAGGUCUGUUGGAGCUGUGACUCACAGUUGGGGGACUCUUCCAGACACAGAGGGGUUCAGGUGCUCAGUGGCUGAAACGAAUGACAACUGUCAGCUGCAUGUCACAGAGAAGCCAGUGAUUUUCUCCCCUCAUAAGCAGCUCAGAGGGAGGCAGUUCUAGAUCGGGGCAGUGUCAAGACUGU
Equus quagga is the source of this 3845-nucleotide long non-coding RNA. RefSeq lists it as uncharacterized. The transcript has 3 exons. Lineage: Eukaryota; Metazoa; Chordata; Mammalia; Perissodactyla; Equidae. The record is from RefSeq and is a predicted model, not a curated record.